This 508-nucleotide ribosomal RNA is filed under the name uncultured bacterium. RNAcentral's name for it is "bacterial SSU rRNA". It matches the Rfam family "Bacterial small subunit ribosomal RNA", at positions 27 to 518 of the family's 1533-position model. The record is from RNAcentral.
GAACGAACGCUGGCGGCGCGUCCUAAGCAUGCAAGUCGAGCGGUAAGAUUGGUGCUUGCACUAAUCCUAGAGCGGCGGACUGGUGAGUAACGCGUGGGUGACGUACCUCUGUGACGGGGACAGCUCCUAGAAAUAGGAGAUAAUACCGGAUACGCUGUGUGCUGUCAGAGGGCACACAGGAAAGGAUCUUUUGAUUCGCACAGAGAGCGGCCCGCGUACUAUUAGCUAGUUGGUGAGGUAACGGCCCACCAAGGCGACGAUAGUUACCCGGCCUAAGAGGGUGAUCGGGCACAUUGGGACUGAGAUACGGCCCAGACUCCUACGGGAGGCAGCAGCUAAGAAUAUUCCGCAAUGGACGAAAGUCUGACGGAGCGACGCCGCGUGGAUGAUGAAAGGCCGGAAGGUUGUAAAAUCCUUUUAUGACUGAGGAAUAAGGUGGAUGAGAGAAACGUCCGCUGGUGACUGUAGGUCAUGAAUAAGCAACGGCUAAUUACGUGCCAGCCGCGGC